UACGUAGGGACCGAGCGUUGUCCGGAAUCAUUGGGCGUAAAGAGCGUGUAGGCGGCCACUUAAGUCCUGCGUGAAAUCUUGCGGCUCAACCGCAAGCGGUCGUGGGAAACUGGGUGGCUAGAGUGCGGGAGAGGAGAGUGGAAUUCCUGGUGUAGCGGUGGAAUGCGCAGAUACCAGGAAGAACACCCGUGGCGAAGGCGGCUCUCUGGAACGCAACUGACGCUGAGACGCGAAAGCGUGGGGAGCAAACAGG
Molecule: ribosomal RNA, 253 nt
Filed under: uncultured bacterium
Lineage: Bacteria
Description: partial 16S ribosomal RNA
Rfam family: Bacterial small subunit ribosomal RNA
Source: RNAcentral